Molecule: long non-coding RNA, 950 nt
Organism: Alligator sinensis (Chinese alligator)
Lineage: Eukaryota; Metazoa; Chordata; Crocodylia; Alligatoridae
Exons: 3
Source: RefSeq, a predicted model, not a curated record
UUUGGCUUUCAGCCUUACUGAACUUGUUUUUCCUGCUGUGUUUCUGUAAACAACUCUCAGCAUCGAAGUCCAGCCUACAGCUGGAUCAAUCUGUUCCUUCAAAAGUAAGCCACCCGUCUAUAUCUGGAAUGGCUAAGUAUUUGUCUGGAAACGUGCUGCAAGUGCUAGAAGCCAGGAUGUAAGGAGGUGUAGUUUUGUUUCUGACAGAUUUGUUGUGCAGCCUGGUGGGUAACGGCUAGAAAUAACUAAUGUCAGCUGUGAAUACUAGAGGAAAGGUCAAGAAUAUGAAGGUAAUGCAAGUGUGGAUAGAUUUGACCCUCCCUGGGAACACAGGGGGAGACUCCCCCACACUACCCACACAUGACCGACACGGCUACAACCUACACCCUGUAACAUGGAAGAUAUUAAAUUCUGCCACUUGAAAUGGAAACUGUACAACAUGAAAAAGAAGCUAAACUCAAGAGACAUAUAUUUUCUAAGCCUAUGCAAGAAACACAACUUUGUUCCCAGAGGAUUAAACAUCCACAAUCCUCUGAUUACUGCACACAACUCCAAGUAUGCUUCACCGCUAUGCAGGAAAACUUCAGAGAAAAUUAGAAAUCAUCUUCUUCACCUAAUCUACUCCAAAAGAGACCAGCUCAGAAAGGAAAUCACCACCUGCUACAACUUAAAAGGGAAAAAUCCAGAUAUCUUCCCUAAUAUUAUACAAUGGACACAAAGAGACUACAGAAAUUUUUCUACAACAGUCAUCCAACAUAAAAAGCAGAAAUGGAACAAAUUACUCCAGGAGCACCUUUCCCAGCCACAAAACAACCAUCAGAGGAGCAACACCAACACCGUACAACAUUCCAAUCUCAGACUUGAUGAAACUGAAAGCAGCAACCAACCCUCAAAUAUCAUCAAUCUCUCCACACACACGCUUACCAAAACUGAAAAAUCUGUCCUUUCUA